UGCAUGUUGGGUCUGUUCUCAGUUCCUUUAACUAGCUAGAUAAGAGGUGGGGUCGUGAGAGUCUCCUCGUUGCUUGUCUUAGACAUCAAUUGGAUUGGCUAGAUAAGCUAACAGAAUUAAUUAAAUAAUCAUGAAUCUACUUUGGCUUAGCCUUUUUAACCUCUUAUCUUAGACACUAGUUUCAAGGGUAAAUCCAAACUUA
This 202-nucleotide long non-coding RNA is filed under the name Elaeis guineensis (African oil palm). Its description in RNAcentral is "long non-coding RNA (EGUI_LNC018652)". Lineage: Eukaryota; Viridiplantae; Streptophyta; Magnoliopsida; Arecales; Arecaceae. The record is from RNAcentral.